This 933-nucleotide long non-coding RNA is filed under the name Aotus nancymaae (Ma's night monkey). RNAcentral describes it as "lncRNA (ENSANAG00000039030.1)". Lineage: Eukaryota; Metazoa; Chordata; Mammalia; Primates; Aotidae. The record is from RNAcentral.
AGCCUCUGGUAAACAGGCCCGCAGGUUCUGCCGCCGGCGCCGAUCGGCUCCUGUGAACCUGGUGAUGUGCAGCCAGCCACCUGCCUUCUCGUGGCCUGAAGGGGAUGGAAGCCAAUGUUUCUAAGUCUCUUACCCUGCGGAGCUCAGAAAGGCGAAGGUCACCCAGACAGCAGGUGACCAAGCUGCGAUUCGAGCCCUGGUCCUUCACGCUUCAGAGCCAAAGCUUGUCCAUGGUGAAGAGCACAUCACCUCGCCAAUGACUCCUCCAAAUAAAGCUCGUGUAAUAUGUGUCAUUCUUCGAAGACCUUUAAAAAAGAACCAAAACAGUAACUGGUUUGACUUUUUCAGCAGAGCAAAGGAAAAGGGCAUCAGCACGUGGAGGCAAGUUGCAAGCAGCCCUGUGUUUGCCUGCAGGUCCCACACGGUCCUCCGCCCCUUCUCAUUGUUCGAGCUGCCUCCUGAGGGGGUUACCAAUAAUUUUCACUCAUAAGAUCAGCCUCGGGUUUCUUCAUCUGGAAAGAAAUUAAUUUUCCAAGUCACACAAUUACAGACAACUUUUAAAAGAGUCACUGUGACAGUUUCAUGGUUACCUUAGAUUAGAUGGUGCCAGUUUAUUCUUUUUUAAAAAAAAGAAAAUUUGCGUGAACAAAAUUAAAUCCAAGAAACAUGGCUUUUUUCUAGCUCUUUUUGUGAAAUAGUUUAAAAAAAAAAGAAUAAAGAAAAUAAGCUGCUUCUACCAGUUUUGGGGGCUUUCCAGGUUUCCAGACAUUUACUUAGCUUGAUACAUAGUAUAUUUCUGUGGGAAAAUUUUUGUACACCACGAAUAUCUUGUAGGUCAUUACUUUCUGGCUUGUUGUGUUGGUUACAGUCAGCUCCACGGUAUGAACAAGUUGAUCAGCUCCGGGAAGGCCUCCCAUUUCCUAGCGGAAAACC